UACGGAGGGUGCAAGCGUUAUCCGGAUUCACUGGGUUUAAAGGGUGCGUAGGCGGGUUUGUAAGUCCGUGGUGAAAUCUCCGAGCUUAACUCGGAAACUGCCAUGGAUACUAUAAGCCUUGAAUGUUGUGGAGGUAAGCGGAAUAUGUCAUGUAGCGGUGAAAUGCUUAGAUAUGACAUAGAACACCUAUUGCGAAGGCAGCUUACUACACAAAUAUUGACGCUGAGGCACGAAAGCGUGGGGAUCAAACAGG
Molecule: ribosomal RNA, 253 nt
Filed under: uncultured Chitinophaga sp.
Lineage: Bacteria; Pseudomonadati; Bacteroidota; Chitinophagia; Chitinophagales; Chitinophagaceae
Description: partial 16S ribosomal RNA
Rfam family: Bacterial small subunit ribosomal RNA
Source: RNAcentral